GAUCAUCCUUGAAUAGCUUUUGCAUUUCCACCUCGUGCAUAAAGGCUGAAGCAGUGGUAUCUUUGCCAUCUUUAGAAAGCAAUGGCCCCUUUGCCACAUACUCUGCCUUCUUCUCUGAAUCCUUCACAGCCACCCAUGUGUUUGCUCGAUAGCCGGGAAGCUGGGUUCCUAAGGGCCGAACAAGUUCAUACUUUCCACCACUCUCACCGAUGCAAGUCAAACCCGGAGUAAGUAUUGUCGAAUAGCUGGCGACCGUAUAACCAAAACUGAGUUUGAGUGGAUGAGGAAGAGAAUGAGUAAACAAAGGUUUUAGUGGAAAUUUUGAGCAAAAUAAUGGCAGCGCCAUGACGGGAACAACAGGUGUGUGGUUGAGGUGAGCGCGUAACAAGAUAUUCUUAAUCUCAAUUCUGUAACAACUGCGAU
This 423-nucleotide small RNA is filed under the name Histoplasma capsulatum. RNAcentral describes it as "hypothetical RNA". RNAcentral also lists the same sequence under 1 other name. The record is from RNAcentral. Lineage: Eukaryota; Fungi; Ascomycota; Eurotiomycetes; Onygenales; Ajellomycetaceae.